AUGAAUUUAAUAGUAUAAGAUUUUCAGUCACCAGAAAAAUUAACUAAAAAAAUGUCUUUGACUCGUUAAUAUAAAAAUAAAUUUAAUUCAUUAAAUAAAGUUAGUUUGAAGUUAUUUUACUACAUAUUUAGUUGAAAUGUUUUAACGUUAGAAAACUAUAUAUAUACAUGUAACUUCUCUUUAGUAUCCACAAAAUAAAAAUCUUUUUUCAAUACAUUUCAUUCAAAAAAAAUUUGUAUGGGUUCUACAAAAACUUUUAUGACUUGCUUACUCGUAGUAACAUUAGCAGUUUCGUUGUCUAAUAAUCUUAACGUUCUGGUCUCAGGUGCAGAGAAAAAAUUAUCAUAUGAGCACUGCAAUGCUUUGUGUUCACCUACAUACGACGGAUGGUCUGAAUGUCAAAGUGACUGUGCUGAAAAGGGCUACUAUUAUGGAGCAUGUGCUUCUCCUUCUCCUAAACUGCCUAAGAAAUGUUGUUGUCAAACGUUUAUAUAAAUUUAUAUAUAUAGGGCUUUUGCAUCUCGUGUUUCUUUAUAAUAAUGUGAUGAAAGUAAAAAAAAUAACUAUUUACUA
Molecule: long non-coding RNA, 573 nt
Organism: Brassica napus (rape)
Lineage: Eukaryota; Viridiplantae; Streptophyta; Magnoliopsida; Brassicales; Brassicaceae
Exons: 2
Source: RefSeq, a predicted model, not a curated record